GCGCAAACCUCGCGCUUUUUGCUCACCCUUCCAGGACGCGGCCUCCUCGCUUCUUAAAAUGUCUGAGCUCUACGAAGUGGAACCGUUAGCCCUCCGUUUGUUGCCUUACUUCACACUGAAAUAAGCCAACGUUUAUUUUAUUUUAUUUAUUUUAUUAUUUAUUUUAUUAUUUUUUUUCGAGACGGAGUCUCGCUCUGUCCCAGGCUGGAGUGCCGUGGCGGGAUCUCGACUCACUGCAACCUCCGCCUCCGUGUUCAAGCUAUUCUACCUCAGCCUCCCGAGUAGCUGGGAUUACAGGUGCCCGCCACCACGCCCGGCUAAUUUUUGUAUUUUUAGUAGAGAUGGGGUUUCACCAUGUUGGCCAGGCUGAUCUCGAACUGCUGACCUUGUGAUCCUCCCGCCUCAGCCUCCCAAAGUGCUGGGAUUACAGGCGUGAGCCACCGCGCCCGGCCCCCAACGUUCCUUUUUAAGCCUGUCGUAUCUCACAUUAAAUGUGUAAGUCUCUGAACUGUAGGGCUUUGAACAAAGGAAAGUUCCAUGAGAAUACUAUAUGAUGCCAAUUUCUACUGUUAGGAACGCGAUAACAGAGUGCAGUGGGGGAGAAAAUACGGUCCUCAAGAUCUGAGAAACUGGAGAGGAAAAGUCACAGGACAACCAACUUCUCUAUGACAUAGCCCAGCAUCUGAGGAAAGUCCUGCAAUAGUGGAGGUGGAGCAGAGGGUAUGAGCUGGGAAGCAAAUGGAGCAGGAGCUGGAGGCUGCCCCAUCCACUCCAAGCCAGAGAACAAGCAGAGGCUGCCACAGGAGAUCCUGGGCAAGUAAUCAGCCACAGCAUCUAGAUUAGCAUGAAGGAAACACUAGCCAAAUUAAAAGAUGAAACUUCCAAAAG
Pan troglodytes (chimpanzee) is the source of this 888-nucleotide long non-coding RNA. RefSeq lists it as uncharacterized. The record is from RefSeq and is a predicted model, not a curated record. The transcript is spliced from 3 exons. Lineage: Eukaryota; Metazoa; Chordata; Mammalia; Primates; Hominidae.